GUAAAUGUAUUGGAAUAGGGCUUAAUUCUAUGUAAAUUAUGUUUAGCAAGACAAUAUUGAUGAAUAUGGUAAAAUUUAAGAGAAACAAGUGAAAAUGACUAAAUUGAAAGAAAAUCAAAGUUGAUGGACCAAAGUACAAAUAGCCAAGAGACGAUACGAAAGAAGAAACAAAAAUGUAAAAGAGUCGAAGACCAAUUGAACAAAGAAAUG
RNAcentral lists this long non-coding RNA (210 nucleotides) under Olea europaea (common olive). Its description in RNAcentral is "long non-coding RNA (OEUR_LNC001620)". The record is from RNAcentral. Lineage: Eukaryota; Viridiplantae; Streptophyta; Magnoliopsida; Lamiales; Oleaceae.